Molecule: long non-coding RNA, 1136 nt
Filed under: Calidris pugnax (ruff)
Lineage: Eukaryota; Metazoa; Chordata; Aves; Charadriiformes; Scolopacidae
Description: lncRNA (ENSCPUG00000000177.1)
Source: RNAcentral
AUUCAUUUCUAGUUCUUCAGUGUAAUGCUCAAAUCACAGAGCAAUCUCCGUGUUUCGUCUUGAUAGAGCAGCUUCAUUUAACAGAAAUACUCUGGCAGUCAAAUCGGAGAAACAGAAAUGAAGGAUAGAAAUAUUUUCCAGUGCUGACUAAAGGCAAGCAGUAAGCUUCAAGCAUUAAUUAACAGUAUAAUGAGAAACUUCAGUCCAAGCAAAUACUUCUUUUUAACAGAAUUUUUCUUUUCUCUGUUGUGUUGCAGAAGAAGAGAUGGUGACUGAGCUGUACAAGCAAACCGGGACAAUCCAAAAAGUGACUCAAAGCAGGAGCCAGCAGAUGGUCGCGUCGUUAGCCGGUGGCCACAGCCUCGCCAGAGGAGUUUUGGAAUUCCCAUCAAAGUCGGGAUUAAGCUCAGGAUAUGCCAGUGGCACAGAGGGGAGCGUGGAAGAAGAGGAAAUCAUUCCCUGCGACUCAUCUUGCGGUUGGGGGCUGAUCUCCUGAGAGUGCCGCGCGGGUGCCGAAGGAAGAACACGUUGUUUGAGGGAAAACCUAUUUAUAAACACGUGGAAACUGAAAGGUAAAUCAUUUCUGUAAACUGAUUGAUGAAAUAUGCUCUCUGCAUUGGUUAUGUGUCCCGAUGUGAAGUACGUAGUGUAAAUACACCUGGCAUCUAUUACGUUUGUCGCUGUGCAGUGCCACUAGGGUAGGCAGGGGGUAUCUUUUAAAAAUUCCAUUUCUAAUUCUCUGCUUCUUCACCAUAACAAAGAAAGGUUCAAAGGUGGCGUGUUUUUCUCUGCAAAUGUUUUUGGCUUGGGUUUGGAGGUUUUUUUGCAGCGUUAUACGUGAUGGGGAGGAGUAAAGAAUAUUUGCCUUCAGCUAAAAGAGCCUCUGCAGCCUGUUUGUCAGGCGUGGGAAUUCAGUGGGGAUUAAAAACAAUCACACGUGGAGCUGAUUGAAUUUCCUAUCCCUCUUAAUUGCUACCUUUUUUUUUUUUUUUUCCUAUGUGAUGAUUUUAAUUUCACUUCCUCCGCAGUAAUCGCGGAGUCUUUCAAAGUAGUCAGAAUUUGAAUUUGUGUUAUACCAGAAAGAAAAAAAAAAAAAGAAAAAUAAACAUUUUCAUGCGCGAUUCUUGUUAUUUUUA